UGGGGUGUAGCUUAGUGGUACUAUGCUUGCCUAGGAAGCAUGCAGGAAGCCUGGGUUCCAUCCCAGCACCUCAU
Molecule: transfer RNA, 74 nt
Filed under: Marmota marmota marmota (Alpine marmot)
Lineage: Eukaryota; Metazoa; Chordata; Mammalia; Rodentia; Sciuridae
Also listed under: 1 other name
Rfam family: tRNA
About the family: Transfer RNA (tRNA) molecules are approximately 80 nucleotides in length. Their secondary structure includes four short double-helical elements and three loops (D, anti-codon, and T loops).
Source: Rfam by way of RNAcentral